RNAcentral lists this transfer RNA (72 nucleotides) under Heterocephalus glaber (naked mole-rat). It matches the Rfam family "tRNA". From Rfam's summary of the family: Transfer RNA (tRNA) molecules are approximately 80 nucleotides in length. Their secondary structure includes four short double-helical elements and three loops (D, anti-codon, and T loops). The record is from Rfam by way of RNAcentral. Lineage: Eukaryota; Metazoa; Chordata; Mammalia; Rodentia; Bathyergidae.
UGAGGUAUAGCUCAGUGCUAGAGUACUUGUCUAGCAUACAUAAGGCCUUGGGUUUCAACCCCAGCACCAUAA